UGGGGAAUAUUGGACAAUGGGCGAAAGCCUGAUCCAGCAAUACCGCGUGUGUGAAGAAGGCCUUCGGGUUGUAAAGCACUUUAAGUUGGGAAGAAAAAACUUUACCUAAUACGUGAAGUCUUGACGGUACCGACAGAAUAAGCACCGGCUAACUCUGUGCCAGCAGCCGCGGUAAUACAGAGGGUGCUAGCGUUAACCGGAUUUACUGGGCGUAAAGCGUGCGUAGGUGGUUUGAUAAGUCGGUUGUGAAAGCCCCGGGCUCAACCUGGGAAUUGCGGCCGAUACUGUCAGACUCGAAAACGGUAGAGGGAGGUGGAACUCCAGGUGUAGCGGUGAAAUGCGUAGAUAUCUGGAAGAACAUCGAUGGCGAAGGCAGCCUCCUGGGCCUGUUUUGACACUGAGGCACGAAAGCGUGGGUAGCAAACA
RNAcentral lists this ribosomal RNA (426 nucleotides) under uncultured bacterium. RNAcentral describes it as "partial 16S ribosomal RNA". It matches the Rfam family "Bacterial small subunit ribosomal RNA", at positions 355 to 774 of the family's 1533-position model. The record is from RNAcentral.